CAAACGACUCUUUUCAGAGCCACCCAAACAUUUAUUACGAAAGAA
Molecule: non-coding RNA, 45 nt
Organism: Harpegnathos saltator (Jerdon's jumping ant)
Lineage: Eukaryota; Metazoa; Arthropoda; Insecta; Hymenoptera; Formicidae
Source: Rfam